CUCGAAGAGUAGGGCGGGACACGUGGUAUCCUGUCUGAAUAUGGGGGGACCAUCCUCCAAGGCUAAAUACUCCUGACUGACCGAUAGUGAACCAGUACCGUGAGGGAAAGGCGAAAAGAACCCCGGCGAGGGGAGUGAAAAAGAACCUGAAACCGUGUACGUACAAGCAGUGGGAGCACCUUCGUGGUGUGACUGCGUACCUUUUGUAUAAUGGGUCAGCGACUUAUAUUCUGUAGCAAGGUUAACCGUAUAGGGGAGCCGAAGGGAAACCGAGUCUUAACUGGGCGUUAAGUUGCAGGGUAUAGACCCGAAACCCGGUGAUCUAGCCAUGGGCAGGUUGAAGGUUGGGUAACACUAACUGGAGGACCGAACCGACUAAUGUUGAAAAAUUAGCGGAUGACUUGUGGCUGGGGGUGAAAGGCCAAUCAAACCGGGAGAUAGCUGGUUCUCCCCGAAAGCUAUUUAGGUAGCGCCUCGUGAACUCAUCUUCGGGGGUAGAGCACUGUUUCGGCUAGGGGGCCAUCCCGGCUUACCAACCCGAUGCAAACUACGAAUACCGAAGAAUGUUAUCACGGGAGACACACGGCGGGUGCUAACGUCCGUCGUGAAGAGGGAAACAACCCAGACCGCCAGCUAAGGUCCCAAAGUCAUGGUUAAGUGGGAAACGAUGUGGGAAGGCACAGACAGCCAGGAUGUUGGCUUAGAAGCAGCCAUCAUUUAAAGAAAGCGUAAUAGCUCACUGGUCGAGUCGGCCUGCGCGGAAGAUGUAACGGGGCUAAACCAUGCACCGAAGCUGCGGCAGCGACACUAUGUGUUGUUGGGUAGGGGAGCGUUCUGUAAGCCGUUGAAGGUGUGCUGUGAGGCAUGCUGGAGGUAUCAGAAGUGCGAAUGCUGACAUAAGUAACGAUAAAGCGGGUGAAAAGCCCGCUCGCCGGAAGACCAAGGGUUCCUGUCCAACGUUAAUCGGGGCAGGGUGAGUCGACCCCUAAGGCGAGGCCGAAAGGCGUAGUCGAUGGGAAACAGGUUAAUAUUCCUGUACUUGGUGUUACUGCGAAGGGGGGACGGAGAAGGCUAUGUUAGCCGGGCGACGGUUGUCCCGGUUUAAGCAUGUAGGCGGAGGUUCCAGGUAAAUCCGGUACCUUUUAACGCUGAGGUGUGAUGACGAGGCACUACGGUGCUGAAGUAACAAAUGCCCUGCUUCCAGGAAAAGCCUCUAAGCAUCAGGUAACAUCAAAUCGUACCCCAAACCGACACAGGUGGUCAGGUAGAGAAUACCAAGGCGCUUGAGAGAACUCGGGUGAAGGAACUAGGCAAAAUGGUGCCGUAACUUCGGGAGAAGGCACGCUGAUAUGUAGGUGAAGCCCCUGCGGGUGGAGCUGAAAUCAGUCGAAGAUACCAGCUGGCUGCAACUGUUUAUUAAAAACACAGCACUGUGCAAACACGAAAGUGGACGUAUACGGUGUGACGCCUGCCCGGUGCCGGAAGGUUAAUUGAUGGGGUUAGCGGCAACGCGAAGCUCUUGAUCGAAGCCCCGGUAAACGGCGGCCGUAACUAUAACGGUCCUAAGGUAGCGAAAUUCCUUGUCGGGUAAGUUCCGACCUGCACGAAUGGCGUAAUGAUGGCCAGGCUGUCUCCACCCGAGACUCAGUGAAAUUGAACUCGCUGUGAAGAUGCAGUGUACCCGCGGCAAGACGGAAAGACCCCGUGAACCUUUACUAUAGCUUGACACUGAACACUGGUCCUUGAUGUGUAGGAUAGGUGGGAGGCUUUGAAGCGUGGACGCCAGUCUGCGUGGAGCC
This 1799-nucleotide ribosomal RNA is filed under the name Enterobacter sp. C6. RNAcentral describes it as "partial 23S ribosomal RNA". It matches the Rfam family "Bacterial large subunit ribosomal RNA", at positions 404 to 2187 of the family's 2925-position model. Lineage: Bacteria; Pseudomonadati; Pseudomonadota; Gammaproteobacteria; Enterobacterales; Enterobacteriaceae. The record is from RNAcentral.